GAUGAACGCUGGCGGCGUGCCUAAUACAUGCAAGUCGAGCGAACAGACGAGGAGCUUGCUCCUCUGACGUUAGCGGCGGACGGGUGAGUAACACGUGGAUAACCUACCUAUAAGACUGGGAUAACUUCGGGAAACCGGAGCUAAUACCGGAUAAUAUAUUGAACCGCAUGGUUCAAUAGUGAAAGACGGUUUUGCUGUCACUUAUAGAUGGAUCCGCGCCGCAUUAGCUAGUUGGUAAGGUAACGGCUUACCAAGGCAACGAUGCGUAGCCGACCUGAGAGGGUGAUCGGCCACACUGGAACUGAGACACGGUCCAGACUCCUACGGGAGGCAGCAGUAGGGAAUCUUCCGCAAUGGGCGAAAGCCUGACGGAGCAACGCCGCGUGAGUGAUGAAGGUCUUCGGAUCGUAAAACUCUGUUAUUAGGGAAGAACAAAUGUGUAAGUAACUAUGCACGUAUUGACGGUACCUAAUCAGAAAGCAACGGCUAACUACGUG
RNAcentral lists this ribosomal RNA (497 nucleotides) under uncultured bacterium. RNAcentral's name for it is "partial 16S ribosomal RNA". It matches the Rfam family "Bacterial small subunit ribosomal RNA", at positions 28 to 507 of the family's 1533-position model. The record is from RNAcentral.